AAUUGACGGGGACCCGCACAAGCGGUGGAUGAUGUGGAUUAAUUCGAUGCAACGCGAAGAACCUUACCUACCCUUGACAUGUCCGGAACUUGCCAGAGAUGGCUUGGUGCCCGAAAGGGAAUCGGAACACAGGUGCUGCAUGGCUGUCGUCAGCUCGUGUCGUGAGAUGUUGGGUUAAGUCCCGCAACGAGCGCAACCCUUAUCAUUAGUUGCUACGCAAGGGCACUCUAAUGAGACUGCCGGUGACAAACCGGAGGAAGGUGGGGAUGACGUCAAGUCCUCAUGGCCCUUAUGGGUAGGGCUUCACACGUCAUACAAUGGUCGGUACAGAGGGUUGCCAAGCCGCGAGGCGGAGCCAAUCCCACAAAGCCGAUCGUAGUCCGGAUUGUUCUCUGCAACUCGAGAGCAUGAAGUCGGAAUCGCUAGUAAUUGCAGGUCAGCAUACUGCGGUGAAUACGUUCCCGGGUCUU
Molecule: ribosomal RNA, 470 nt
Filed under: uncultured Thiobacillus sp.
Lineage: Bacteria; Pseudomonadati; Pseudomonadota; Betaproteobacteria; Nitrosomonadales; Thiobacillaceae
Description: bacterial SSU rRNA
Rfam family: Bacterial small subunit ribosomal RNA
Source: RNAcentral